Poecile atricapillus (Black-capped chickadee) is the source of this 141-nucleotide long non-coding RNA. RefSeq lists it as uncharacterized. The transcript has 3 exons. Lineage: Eukaryota; Metazoa; Chordata; Aves; Passeriformes; Paridae. The record is from RefSeq and is a predicted model, not a curated record.
GGAGAUCCUGGGGUUAACAAUAAUGUUACUGGCCCUAAGGGUGAAAAGGGAAACCUAGCACCACAGGGAGACCCGGGCCCGUGUGGACUCCAAGGAGAGCAGGGUUAUGCUGGCCUAGAUGGUGCAGCAGGUCGAAGAGGC